Molecule: ribosomal RNA, 253 nt
Filed under: uncultured bacterium
Lineage: Bacteria
Description: partial 16S ribosomal RNA
Rfam family: Bacterial small subunit ribosomal RNA
Source: RNAcentral
UACGUAGGGGGCAAGCGUUGUCCGGAUUUACUGGGUGUAAAGGGUGCUCAGGGGGCUUGGAAAGUCAGUGGUGAAAUCUGAGAGCUUAACUCUCAAACUGCCAUUGAUACUUCUUAGCUUGAGUACGGAAGAGGCUGAUGGAAUUUCAGGUGUAGCAGUGAAAUGCGUAGAUAUCUGAAAGAACACCAGUGGCGAAGGCGGUCAGCUGGUCCGUUACUGACACUAAAGCACGAAAGCGUGGGUAGCAAACAGG